RNAcentral lists this ribosomal RNA (345 nucleotides) under Triticum aestivum (bread wheat). RNAcentral describes it as "partial small subunit ribosomal RNA". Lineage: Eukaryota; Viridiplantae; Streptophyta; Magnoliopsida; Poales; Poaceae. The record is from RNAcentral.
AUGGUGCAGUUGGUCACCUGGAUGUCCUCCACGUCCUUCUCGUCCUUGUACCGCCCCAGGCUGCCCACGCUGAUCCCGUGGCCGGGGCCGCACCGGGAGCCGUGGAUCUUGACGUGCUUGGUGCCGGGCCCGAUGGAGAUGCAGUCGUCGCCGACGCCGAUGUUGGUCGCCUUGAUGGUCACGUCCUCCGAGUCGCCCAUGUGGAUGCCGUCCGUGUUGGGGCUGUUCCCGGGCGCCGUGAUCUCCACGUUCUCCACCAGCACGUUCUUGCAGUUGAAGAGGUUGAGGUGGAAGAACUUUGCGUUCUUGAGCGUGAUGCCGCGGAUCGUCGCGUUGUUCACGUAG